CUUGCCGCCGGCGACCGGCGCACGGGUGAGUAACACGUAUGCAACCUGGCCGUGACAGAUGGAUAACCGGGAGAAACCCCGCCUAAUACAACAUAAUGCCGGGAGGGGACAUCCCCUGCCGGUCAAAGGGGGCGACCCCGGUCACGGAUGGGCAUGCGGCGCAUUAGGUAGUUGGUGGGGCAACGGCCCACCAAGCCGACGAUGCGUAGGGGUUCUGAGAGGAAGGUCCCCCACAUUGGAACUGAGACACGGUCCAAACUCCUACGGAAGGCAGCAG
RNAcentral lists this ribosomal RNA (277 nucleotides) under uncultured bacterium. Its description in RNAcentral is "partial 16S ribosomal RNA". It matches the Rfam family "Bacterial small subunit ribosomal RNA", at positions 81 to 354 of the family's 1533-position model. The record is from RNAcentral.